AUCGAAUACUCAGGGAAGGCUGGUUGAACUAAGUUCAAGAACUCAACCAACGGUAAUUGAAGGAUAGUUAGGAGCUAUGACGACUGCAGCUCGACCCACAUGGGCACCUGCAAAAGGUGGUAAUGAACAAGGUGGUACUCGAAUUUUUGGUCCUUCUCAGAAGUACUCUUCCAGGGAUCUUGCCUCUCAUACGAACCUAAAGCCUAGAAAGGAAGGGCAAGACACACAGGAGGAAUUGCAGAAGAGGAAUCUUCGUGAGGAGCUGGAAGAUCGAGAAAGGAGGCAUUUUUCAUCGAAGGAUAAGUCUUAUAAUGAUGAUAGAGACCGUAGAAAGAGUAAUCAACUUCUCUUGGAAGGGACAAGGAGGGACGCCGAAGACCGCAUCGUUCCGCGUAGUGUGGAUGCUGAUGAUUCUGAUGUGGAAGUUAACAA
This 432-nucleotide unclassified non-coding RNA is filed under the name Hevea brasiliensis (rubber tree). Lineage: Eukaryota; Viridiplantae; Streptophyta; Magnoliopsida; Malpighiales; Euphorbiaceae. The record is from RNAcentral.